CAGACAAUCCCAGUGAACAAAGCAUUGAUAUCCUCUUGAAGUUAAAGUCAACUGUAGUUGUAGUAGAGUGAGGGAAAGAUUGUUGUGAAAAUAGCGACCAAGGCCGUAGCAUUGUUGUCCCUACAAUUCACUAUCAUACAUUCUUCCUCUCUCUAUUCCGACACACUCUAUCUUAGAGUCACCUGCUCCUUUGCCAACAAAAGAUACUGCAAGUUAGCAUGUUGAUGGGAGAAAAAUAUGUUCGCAGAUGAAAGGUAAAAUGGGUUAUGCCUGGCUCCCUCCAUGCCACUCAUGCUGUCCUAUCUUAUUUAGAGAUUGACACGGGGAGAGGCAUGUAGGAAGCCAGGCGUUCUCUCUCUCUCUCUCUCUCUCUUCUCUCCUCUUCUCUUCUCUUCUCUUCUCUUCUCUUCUCUUUUGAUCCACUCUAUCACAAUGUCACUUGGUUCCUUUGUCAACAAGAAAAAAAAAAAAAUUCUAACUUAAUGUUGAUAUAAGGAAAGUAUGUUCAGAGAUGAAAGGUAAAAAGGGUUAUGCCUGGCUCCCUGCAUGCCAUUCGCAUUGUCCUAUCUUAUUUAGAGAUUGGCAGGGGGAGUCGCAUGCAGGAAGCCAAGCAUUUUCUCCCUCUCUCCUCUCUUUUCUGAUUCCCUCUAUCUCAAUGUCACUUGGUUCCUUUGUCAAAAAAAAAAAAAAAAACUGCUAGUUAGUAUGUCGAUAGAAGGGAAAUAUAUUCAGAGAUGAAAGGUAAAAAGGGUUAUGCCUGGCUCCCUGCAUGCCACUCGCACUAUCCUAUCUUAUUUAGAGAUUGGUAGGGGGAGAGGCAUGCAGGAAGCCAUGCAUUCUCUCUCUCUUCCGAAUCAUCUAUCUCAGUUUGAAUUAGUUCCUUUGUCAAAAAAAAAAAAAAAAAAAAAAAAAAAAACUGCUAGAUAGCAUUUUGAUAGAAGAAAAAUAUGUUCAGAGAUGAAAGGUAAAAUGAAUUAUGCCUAGCUCCCUGCAUGCCCCUCGCACUGUCCUAUCUUAUUUAGAUAUUGACAAGGGGAGAGGUAUGCAGGAAACCAUGCAUUCUCUCUCACUCUCCCCCUUUUCUGAUUCACUCUAUCUCAAUGUCACUUUGUUCCUUUGUCAAUAAAAGGAAAAAAAAAAAAAAAAAAAACUGCUAGUUGGCAUGUUGAUAGGAGGAAAAUGUAUUUAGAGAUGAAAGGUAAAAUGGGUUAUACCUGGCUCCCUGUAUGCCACUCGCAUUGCCUAUCUUAUUUAGAGAUUGACAAGGGGGAGACAUGCAGGUAGCCAGGCAUUAUUGACAAGGGGAAGACAUGCAGGUAGCCAGGCAUUCUCAUUCUCUCUCUCUCUCUCUAUAUAUAUAAUAUAAUAUAAUAUUUGUUUAUGUGUUACUCAUCAAUGAUUAGAUUGGUUUUGAAAAUAGAAAAGGAGAAAUAGGUUGUUUGCUUUUUUUUUUUUUUUUUCCGAAGAUAGGUUGAAGCAUGUGUAAGAAGGAAUUGGCAAUUUCAGGUGGUGUAUAUGGACCAAGGGAUACAUCUUUCAUGCAUACUAUUUCUUCUUCUUUUUUAAUUAGUUUAUGUAUAUGGUUUCAAUUUAAGGAUAUAACAUCUUUUUGUUGUACAUAAAGUGUUAGACAAAGUAUUCCUUCAGCAAGUGAUGAAAUUCAUCACUCCAUCCCAGGGUUCAUAAAUCCCUAAAAGGUUUUUGUAUCGUUCCUAAAAUCCCCUCAUGGUACCCCCAUUUACUAUGACCUCAGGAAAACUUGAUCCAUCUAUCUUUAUUGAUAAAGUAUUGAUUGAAUUCAAUGUAGAUGAUUUCAGGAGAUCAAGGAAAUGUGUCUUUUAAAGAUGGAAGAACUCUUUCAAAUCUCAUUGUGCUCAUGCUAUAGAACUACGUAGAAGCUAUAAAAAGGAAAAAGUAACUACGGUAACAUUCCCUUAAUGAUGAUCUAAUGAUUUAAUCCAUUUAACCAAAUGUCUUAGGUACCCACAUGACUUCUUAUAAAGCACAAGAACAAAGGUGCCUAUUUGGGAAGCAAUCAUCGAAGAUAACACCCCAAAUCUAUCUAGUGAAGGAACAUUGGAAAAAGAGAUGACCCCAAAUAGUAUUGUUUCUGAAUUCCUGUAAUUCCAAUGAAACUCAUCAAUUAAGAUACAAGGCCAUUUAAUUAUCACUUAAGAGAGUCUUCUAUUUUUACAAAAACAGGGAAUCUUCUAUAGAUGUCGAUGGGAAUCAAAUCAAGAUCUAUAUAUAUAUAUAUAUAUAUAUAUAUUUUAAGAGAAUCUGGCGGCUGUCCAUUGGGUUUAAGUAGCAAAAAUUUAUGUGCUUUAUUUUUAAGUCUCUUUUCUUGUGUCUGUUUAAUUUUAGUACUAUACCAGUAUACCUGUAGAUGAUAUGAAUAAUUUUUUUCUGUUUCUUUAUCAUAAUUUGUUAUUUCUUAUGGACACAGAGAGAUAAAAUUAUUCUUUCACAUGAAAAACCCAAGCCUUUUUCUAUCCUCAAUCCCAUCAAGCAAUGGACUGAUUAUUACUGUCAAACCAUUAAGAACCAGGAAAAAAGUAUCAAGCUAGUGCCAGGGGCUUUUUAUAUGGACUGAAAGGGGCAUGAAUGAUGGGUAGAACAUGGGGGUGGUAUGAAGCGAUUCGGCAGAAUUCAAUCACGCUCUUCUUGACAGUAGGACAACUUCGUGGCCUUGGAGUGUAAUUCCUUUUUUUCUGGAUGUUCAUAAUUUUGUGUUUAUACCAACCUUCAUGCUCAGGCCAGUGAACGAAGUAGGCCUACUCAUGGGACUUUUUGCGAAUAAUAUCAUUACCAAACUCUCAUGUAUAGAUAUAAGAAUUUGGACAUUGAUGUACUUAGUUACUUAUAUUCUUAACGAAUUUGUACAUAGUUACUUAUAUUCUUAACGAUUUUUUUUUAUUUGAUAAAAAAUAUAUUUUUUCCUUUUCAAAGGAUGAUAGUGAACCAAAUACACCAGCAUUUAUUUUAA
Macadamia integrifolia is the source of this 2986-nucleotide long non-coding RNA. RefSeq lists it as uncharacterized. Lineage: Eukaryota; Viridiplantae; Streptophyta; Magnoliopsida; Proteales; Proteaceae. The record is from RefSeq and is a predicted model, not a curated record. The transcript is spliced from 2 exons.